ACUCUCUAGUGUUGAAGAAAGAGUUAGUCUCUAGUGUUGAAGAAAGGACCACCCACUGUGAUUUGAAGAGAGCGACAGAAGUGAUCUACAUUAAAAGAAAGGACCACAGAGUUACUCUCUAGUCAUUGCCAGCUUCUCUCCUAUCUUCCUAUUCUUGCGUUCUCUAACAAGCACGAAGAAUUUAAAAGAAAAUGCCAUUCGAAAGGGAAAAUUUUAAUGCAGCAGUACACAGUGUUUUCACCUUGACCAUAGCAAGUUUAAUUGGCCUCAUUCAAAUCAAGCCUUUGGUUGAUACAGACACACACAUUAUAUUACCAAUCUUUCUUAUUGCUCUACUCACAUAUGGGUUUGGAACUAUCUUUCAAGCUUGGAACUCCUUCAAUUCAAUUACUAGCAAAGUUGGCUUAUUUGCUCUUGGAUUAGCCGUAGUUGCACUUGUGCUUAUGGUUUUGCCAAUUUUGGGUUGGAUCAUUUUAAUCUUAUGGGCCUCCUUGUUAACUAAAGUAGUAUAAAACUCAAGGGAUAAUAUUUACAGUUUAAUCAGUAAAUUACGAGAGAGAUUCAACCAGAUAAUUGGAAGCAAAUUACGAGAGAAAUUCAAUAAAAUAAUUGGAAUCACAAGUCAAGUUACAGAAGAGUAAACUACGAGAGAGACAAUUGAAAUCAUAAGUUAUGUUAUAUAAGAGCAUGACAAUUUAUCUAUGUAAUUUUUUUUUUGAAAUAACGCAGCUCUCUGAUUAUAUAUCGAAUGAAAAUGUGCUAUUUUGUGUAGUUACCAUAAAAUGGAAAAUGUGCUAUUUUGUGUAGUUACCAUAAAAUGGAAAAGAGAUAGAAUUUUUAUUUAAUUUCAGUGAUAGUCCUUUAAUUUCAUUUAUUCAAUUAUUUUUAUAAUCAUUUGAAAAAAAUAAACAAAAAAAAAAAAUCCUAAUCUUAAAGACCGUAUGUAUUCCCAACUUCCAUAGUCAAUUUAUUUGGUAAAGCCCACAUCUCACUAUCUCUCCACGACCCGACCCUGCCUCUCCUUCAUACUGAGUACUAAUAUUAGCGUUUAAUUAAUGAACUACGAAAAAAAUUCAACUAGGUAAUUGAAAUUAUAAGUUGUCCUAGUGUAGAAGAGCACGUUGAUUUACCUGAUUUACCUUAGUAAUUCCUUUUUGAAAUAACGUAGCUGUUUAGCCCGUAUUUUUAUUUUCCAAAUUUUGAAUUUUUAUUAAAUUCCCGGCAACCGUAGACGGCGUCCUCUCAGGCGAACGGCCGGCGAUUCUCCUGCGAGGCCCCAUGAGACAUAUUGGUCUCCUCUUCGCGCGGACGAGGAGUGGUAGUUCGAAUCUCAAUCGGCGCAGCCAUAGCCUGAAUCCAUCUUCUCGACGAGGGAAGCUUCAUUGUAGCCUCAGGUUGCGCGAUUGAGUGCGUGGGUGGAAGAAAUCGAGCCAGAAUACUUCAACGCCGCCGCGACACGUUUAUCGGCGAAUCCCGUCGACGCCGGUGAAGACACUCCACGAGGAGACCACCGAUUUGACUCCUCAAUUCCAGGCGAGUCUCUCUCUCUCUCUCUUCCAUUGAUCUCGGCGACAGGGCUCAACGGACGGAAACGCCAUGGACGGCAGUGGCAAGCCACUGUCGGGGUCAUUUCCGGCCAAAAUAGGCACGCCCAGUCCAAGGGGAUCUCGCGAUCGUAGUCCCCAUAAGAUUUCGAGCAUUUUGGUAUAAAUGUUGCUCAAUUCCGGCUAUGGUCGAUUUCCGGCCACCGUAGACGGCGGAAUCCACUAUGCCAGAAAUGGGUUCAAUCUCAUGGAUUCAGACCUGGUGAAGCUAUGUGCUGUGGAAGCGUCUUUAUGGGGAAAAUAUUUGGGCGCAUUAUGUUGAUGAACUUAUUCUUACACCACCUUGUCUCUGAAAUGCUAUCUGUUGUCUGGUUUUAUAGCCUUGUCAGUGAGCUAAAUGAUUUUAUCUCCCUUUGAUUUCCCUAUCUAUGUGCAACAUUGAAUCUCUCUUCCAACAA
This is an RNA transcript of Jatropha curcas, 2002 nucleotides long. RefSeq lists it as uncharacterized. The record is from RefSeq and is a predicted model, not a curated record. Lineage: Eukaryota; Viridiplantae; Streptophyta; Magnoliopsida; Malpighiales; Euphorbiaceae.